AGAGGCUGCACCGAGGUGCAGAAUCAGAGGAGGCACCGGAGACCCCAGAGUCCAGUCUGAGACGGCACAGGGAGCAGGGGAAACUUCUCAGCACAUUGUCCUUGGCCAGAUGCCACAGGAGCCGCUGACCCAGUGACGUCACCUCAUUCUGCUCAGAUCGCACCCCCUGUCCGUGGGGCACUGAGGCAGGAAGAGGAAACUGCUGUAAUCUCAGGAAGCUUUUGGCCAGUGGGGCCCUAGAGCCCUGCCCAAGCCCUACUGGGUGUGGCCCCGAGUCCAGGAACCCCCCUCCCCCCUGACCCUCAUGUCCCCUCGACCUCUGUGGCAUUUUAUAAAACAAAGGGGCCCCGGAAAGCGGAAGGAGGGGGUCACACGUGUGAGCCCUGAGCACCGAAGCUGCCCCCACAGGCCCUGGAAUCCUCCCCGUGUCCAAAGACAGCCUCCUCUUCAGUCAGUGCUCCCUGUCGUCCCCGGUCCUGGGCCUGGAGGGCUGCUGUGGGGCAGGAGCAGUGGCCACUGGGUCUCUGACCUGCACCAGGAGACACGGGGAGGCUUAGGCCUCUGAACCCACAUAGAGCAGGACCGCAGCCCCAGAAAAGGGAAGAUUUCAGCAGAGGAGGCCUGUGACGAGAGAGGCGAAGGCUUGAGGGGCUCCCUGUGGGGCCUGGAGUGUGGAAGCCCCAUUGGGGCCUGGCAGGGACCUGUACCAAGACAGUGAGGUCCUGCAGCAGCUGGGGUGAGGAGAGGAGACUCCCAGGCCUGGUAAAGCGCACAGGGGCCUCUGGCACCCCUACAAGAGGAGGUUGGAGUCACCUGACGCUGUCCUGAUGCGGCUCCUGCAGAGAAGACUCCUUACUUAGCCCACAGUGCUUCUACCCGCCCUGACACCGUCCUGAUGGGGUCCUGCAGAGAAGCCUCCUUACUUAGCCUACAGUUUUUCCACACGCCCUGACACCGUCCUGAUGGGGUCCUGCAGAGAAGCCUGCUUACUUAGCCUACAGUGUUUCCACACGCCCUGACACCGUCCUGAUGGGGUCCUGCAGAGAAGCCUCCUUAGCCCACAGUGCUUCUACCCACCCUCAAUGUAUAACUUCACGUUCAGAAAUGUGUUACCCCCCUCCUCAGACCUCACACAAUUCACGAAUUUCCAAACAGCAGGAAACAGAAACUUCUAAGAAAGCAGAACCCUUGAGUCCAGGUGGGAGAAGGUGCCUGAGAAAACAGCCCUGCCAGAGACAGUACCCCAGCAUCCGGACGUUACUCCACAGACGGCCACGUAAGAGACCAGGAACCACCCUUCCCACGGUACCCCAGCGUCCGGACGCUACUCCACAGACGGCCACGUAAGAGACCGGGAACCACCCUUCCCACGGUACCCCAGCGUCCGGACGCUACUCCACAGACGGCCACGUAAGAGACCAGGAACCACACUUCCCAAGCCUUCUGCACUCCCAAAAACAUCAGCUUCCCGGAAACCUGAGACAUGCUCAAGGAAGAGCACGGUGUGAAGUCAGCUGUGGGUGGAGGAUGACCCAGGUGCCCAGGCAAGAGACUGAAGGCACAAACUGUUUCAGUAUAAUAAAGAAAAUGGAAUAAGAACAGUCAUAGAGUCAUAACACAAAUUAGAUAUAGAGAUGAUCACGGACAAUUAUCAAUCGUUAUUAUAAACAUUAUUAAUCAUUAGCUUUUAAUAUUACUCUUUGUUCCAUUACUAUAUAACCUGGGAAUAACCGGCGGGUAUAGGGUCAGGUGCUGAAGGGACGUUGUGAGAAGUGACCUAGAAGGCAAGAGGUGAGCCCUCUGUCACGCCAACAUAAGGGCCGCUUGAGGGCUCCUUGGUCAAGCGGUAACGCCAGUGCCUGGGAAGGCACCCGUUACUUAGCCGACCGUGAAAGGGAGUCUCCUUUCCUUGGAGGAGUCAGGGAACACUCUGCUCCGCCAGCUUCUUGUGGGAGGCUGGAUAUUCUCCAGGCCUGGCCUGCAGUCAUCCGGAGGCCUAACCCCCUCCCUGUGGUGCUUGAAUGAUCACACUCCUUGUCCACUUUCAUGCUCUUCCCGUACUCCUGGUUCCUCUUUGAAGUUCGUAGUAGAUAGCGGUAGAAGAAAUAGUGAAAGUCUUAAAGUCUUUGAUUGUUCUUAUAAGUGCAUAGAAGAAAACGCUGACGUAUGCUGCCUUCUCUCUCUGCUCGGCUACCUAAGAGGGAAAGGCCCCCUGUCCUAUGAUCACGUGACUUGCUUCACCUUAUCAAUUACUUGGACGACUCACCGUCCGUACCCUGCCCCCUUGUCUUGUAUUCAAUAAAUAUCAGCGCAGCCAGCCGUUCGGAGCCACUAGCGGUCUCCAUGUCUUGGUGGUAGUGGUCCCCUGGGCCCAGCUGUUUUCUCUUUAUCUGUUUGUCUUGUGUCUUUAUUUCUUACGAUCUCUUGUCUCUGCACACGGGGAGAACACCCGCUAAGCCCCCGUAGGGCUGGACCCUACACAGGAAGUCCCCUUCAUUGCUGUGUGGACGUGGUAGAUAAAGUGUUCUCAAGCUGGAAAGAUUUAACAGAUUGGCCCCUCGGGGACCUGGACAUUGAAUAUUUUACUGAUGGAAGCAGUUUCGUACUAAGGGGAGUCUGCCGAGCUGGGUAUGCCGCGGUGACUUUGGACUCAGCAGUAGAGGUACCGUCUCUGUCUGCAGAAACUUCUGCUUAGAAAGCAGAGCUAAUAGCUCUGACAAGAGCUCUCUGGCUAGGAAAAGAGCAGAAGGCAAGUAUUUACACAGAUUCCAAAUAUGCUUCUGCCACUUUGCAUGUUCAUGAGGCUGUUUACAAAGAAUAAAAGACUUUUAACGGCUGGAAGUGAAAAAACAAAGUAUAAGGAGGAAAUUCCACCUCUGUUAAACGCUGUGUGGGCCCUGGAAGAGGUGGCAGUGAUGCGCUGCAGGAGGCCCCGAAAAGCAGCAAAGCAGAAAGGCAGACGAAGAGGCAAACGGGCUGCAACGACAACUCCACCUUCUAGAGAGGAAGCCUUAGCUAUGCCUCCCGCUCCCGGAGAUUCCCCUCCUGGGGAUCCCAAGGUCCCCUCCAAACGAAAAGUCUUGGUUUGCCCACAAGAAUAAGAACUACAUUGAAGAAAGAUGGUAAAAAUUUUCCAACGGGAGGCUAGCCAUACCUGGAAUGGUGGCCCUCAGAUUUGUAAAACAGUUCCACUGGAAAAAAAACCCAAAAAACCAGCACUAAAGACGUUAUUAAGGCAUCAUUUCUUUUUUUUUUUUUUUUGAGACAGAGUCUCGCUCUAUCCCCCAGGCUGGAGUGCUGUGGCGUGAUCUCGGCUCACUGCAAGCUCCGCCUCCCAGGUUCACGCCAUUCUCCUGCCUCAGCCUCCCAUGUAGCUGGGACCACAGGUGCCCGCCACCACACCCGGCUAAUUUUUUUUGUAUUUUUAGUAGAGACGGGGUUUCACGUGUUAGUCUCGAUCUCCCGACCUUGUGAUCCGCCCACCUCGGCCUCCCAAAGUGCUGGGAUUACAGGCGUGAGCCACCGCGCCUGGCCCUGUUAAGGCAUCAUUUCUAUGUGCCAUGGCUCACUGCUAUUACUCGAGCCAUUUGUAAACAAAUGGUGUUAAAUUCGUGCUCAGAACAAUGCAUGACAAGGGCCUACUCGGCCCCCAGGAGUUCAGGAAACAGGAGCCAGGCAGCCAUACCCUGUGAAAAACUGUGGUACGGACUUCGAGGAAGUACCCUGAGAGGGGGGUUAUCAGUGCACGUGGGUGUUCAUUUGCACCUUUUCAGGAGGUUGAGGCCUUCCCCACCCGGACAGAGAAGGCACUAGAAGUAACCAAGGUGUUGUUAAGAGACAUUAUUCCCAGAUUUGGACUGCCUCUAACUCUAAGAUCAGACAAUAGCCCAAUAUUUAUGGCUGAAAUAGUUCAGGACUUAACUUGAUUAUUAAAAAUAAAGUGGAAAUUACAUACAGCUUACAGGCUGCAGAGCUCAGGUAAAGUGGAAUGCAUGAACUGGACACUCAAGCAGCUGCUAAAGAAAUUUUGUCAAGAGCUGGGCGCGGUGGCUCACGCCUGUAAUCCCAGCCCUUUGGGAGGCCGAGGCGGGCGGAUCAUGAGGUCAGGAGAUCGAGACCAUCCUGGCUAACACGUGAAACCCCGUCUCUACUACAAACACAAAAAGUCAGCCGGGUGUGG
This 4180-nucleotide long non-coding RNA is filed under the name Homo sapiens (human). Its description in RNAcentral is "HSALNT0360865". Lineage: Eukaryota; Metazoa; Chordata; Mammalia; Primates; Hominidae. The record is from RNAcentral.